RNAcentral lists this unclassified non-coding RNA (139 nucleotides) under uncultured fungus. RNAcentral describes it as "sequence contains ITS1, 5.8S rRNA gene". Lineage: Eukaryota; Fungi. The record is from RNAcentral.
CCGAGAGUUGUAGGCUUCUGUCUACCAUCUCUUACCCAUGUCUUUUGCGUACUUAACGUUUCCUCGGCAGGUCCGCCUGCCGUAGGACAAUUAUAAACCAUUUGCAGUUGCAGUCAGCGUCUGAAAAACAUAAUAAUUA